AUUCGAAUGAGAUUUUCACACUUGAGACGCUUGUUUGCAGCUUCAGGCAGUACGGACCAAGGACAAGAAGGGCAAUGCAAAACUUCACCUAAAAGAGUACAAUGACUUGGAGAUGCACCAACUUUUCAAGCUAAAUUUAUUUUGAUGACAAAUGAUUUUCGAUUCUUGAUAUGAUGCAGUGAAAACAUGCAAACACAAAUAAAAUCUCUAGUGAAAGAUGAAAUCACAGGAAGCUUGAACUCUAUUCUCAUACCCAACAAAAGACACAUUUAUAGUGAAUCGUUCGCUAGAUAGGUGAUGUAACCAUAGCUGAAUAAUACCAUAAUGCAUAUUUGCCAACAAUGGUUACGUUGAUUAAGGUAAUAUAUACUGAGUUGUAAUAGAGUUGGAUAUCAUGUAAAGAUAUCUAGAGUGUUCCUAUGCUAGCAGAAGUGGAAAAAUACAAGUUCAGUAUGAUCAAAUAGAUCACAAGAAUGUGUAUUUCGAAACUAUGACUGAAAGGCUUGUUCAGCUUAUAUAAAAAUGUUCCUCGGUCCAAGUAUCUUGGAAAAUA
RNAcentral lists this unclassified non-coding RNA (553 nucleotides) under Hevea brasiliensis (rubber tree). Lineage: Eukaryota; Viridiplantae; Streptophyta; Magnoliopsida; Malpighiales; Euphorbiaceae. The record is from RNAcentral.